GCUGGGUGCGGUGGCACACACCUGUAAUCCCAGUGACUCAGGAGGCUGAGGCAGGAAAAUCACCAUUUUGAGGGCAACCUCGGUAACUCAGUGAGACCCUGUUUCUA
Molecule: small RNA, 107 nt
Filed under: Marmota monax (woodchuck)
Lineage: Eukaryota; Metazoa; Chordata; Mammalia; Rodentia; Sciuridae
Source: RNAcentral